GAUUUAAUGAGAAGAAAGGAAAAUAUGUAAUUUGCUUUUGGAGGGCUUCCCUGUGCUGCAGCCCCUCCUCCCCUGCUGGUAGUCUCUCCCUCAAAGGGAGACAGCCUUUGAUGCACGAGCUAAAUUCAGUUACUGACAUGAGUGGGGAGGGAGAACUCUUGUACUCGGAGGAUAAGAGAGAGGAGGGAUCUGCCUCUCCUGGCCUUCCUGUCCCCCUCAGAUAAGGAGUAAUCUAUGGCAAGUUGGCUCUGCCACUUUCUUAGCCCCAGUUAACAGUGAGCAUGACUCAGGCAAAGCCAGGACAGUGUCUCAGACAAGAGGCAUGUCUGCUGCUCCAGGAUCCUGCCCUCAGGGACGCUAGCUUCUCCCCAUCUCCCCUCCCAUUCUGCAAACCUCUACUGGGAGCUCCUGUAGCUGAGACCCCAGGCAAGGCCCCAGGGAGCUAAGGCACAGUAGUAAGUGCUGGGCUACAGGAAGGAGAAGCUCUAAAUAACGUACUAAGAAUUAUAACCAAGGUGUGUCCAGAGGGCUGCAGGAGGCUGUGCAAGGGCAGGAGCGACCUGUAAAAGGCCUGUGCUUCCCGUGGGGCAUAAACCGGACCAGGUGGAGGAUGCGUGGUACAAAGGAAGCCGUGAACAGAACCCAGGUAGCUCUGAAGUGCCUUUGGCAGCAAUGGGUGUUUAACGAAAUAAGGGAGAUGGAUUAGAUCAGGGGUUCUUGCCCUAAGGGCCAAGGCAGCCCCUGAACCCCCCAAAUUAUACGUAAAUAUGGGAUGUAUGUGCAUUUUUCUAAAGAUGGGUCCACAUAUUUCAUCAGAUUUUCAAAGGAGGUACUGACCUUUUGAAAAGUUAAGAAGCAAAGAAUUAGAUUCAUCAUUAAGGGCCCUUGUAGUUCUAACAAUAUAAGAUAUCCAAAAGCCAACAUUCCCCCUGGGUACCCAACUUCAGAAAUCACUCAGCCUCUCAAAGCUGCUGAGUCCAAGGCUGUCCACCCCACAGGGAAAAACUCAUCUGGUGUUCCAUACAUGACAUGUUAGUAUGCUACAUGCCCUGCUUCCAAAAGGCUUGUGUUAAAAGCUUUGAGCUGGAGCAAAUUUGAAUCUAGAAAAUCAGGGACCAGACCAUGAACUCUUCUGCUUUCCUCGCCAAACAAAGCACAGUGUUUUGCAUGUUGCAGGUGCUUUGGUCAAUGAAUGGAAACAAGAGCACCCCUACUUUGACACCUUCCACAGGAGAUGAGCACCACUGACUCUGGGGGCGGUGGACACAGAACACAUCACCACUGUGUACGAGCCUGACUCUCUACACAGAGGGCCACGAGCACCCUCAGCAGCUUGCAGGGCUGUGAAGGAGGCCAAGGAAGAUGGCCUGGCCUUGAAGGCUGUGGACUGGAGAGAAGCCUGUCUUCUAAAGAUAGGAAAGGUCCUAUCGCUCUGGUGGACAAUAUAUGGACCUCUCUGAACGCAGGGUGGACAAGCUGACUUCCUGACUCCAGCCCAGGGAUUCUGUAAUUCAAGGGGAUGGAUGACUCACGCUCAGAGUUACAGGCAUUUAGCCAACCAUCUCCUCCCAUGCAUCCAGGACCUGCAUCCCAGGUCAGCCUCCCACCCUGUUACAUGGCUUUGAGCAAUGUAUUUAACUUCUCUGUGUUUCAGUUACCUCCCCUGCCAAGUCAAGGGGCCGGAUGAGACCAUGGCCAAUAUCCCUUCCACCUCCAAAAGACUUUAAUAUGAUUACUGAGCCAUUAAGAUCAACGGAAAAGAAAAAUGCAUCCUGCUUCUGGACACUGUUUGUCGCCAGUCUCCAAGAGAUAUCUGUAGGAGCUCUGCUCAGUGAAGGAAACGGAUAAAAGAAGGACACGUGGAACUACCAGACAGAGGGCCACAGGCUCCCAAGCCCACCUCCUCAGCUGCAACUGUAAAGACCUCAUAUGAGUGGCUGAAGCCUUUAGAAGGCAAGGGAAGUGGUCCUGCCCAUCAAGGGAGCUCCAGCCCAGGCCGGCCUUAAAGAGGAGAGAGGAGCAGAGGGCCCUGGGUGCACAGCGGGAGGAGGCAUUCUUUUUGCCUGGAUACUAUGAGGAAGAUGUCACAGAAGGCAGACUGUGAGCUGGACCUUCAAUGACGAAUCUACAGAGAAGAAGGAGGACAUUCCAAGCUGAGUAAAGGGCACUUGCAAAGGCUGGGGAACAUGGAAAAACUUGGUGUGGUGAAGGCAGAGAGAACAGUUUGCUACCUAGAGUACUGGGUUCAGGAGGGUGGAAGGGAGUGACUGAGGCCAGGCACAGAAGGCUUUGCAGAAACAGGAAUCAUGGAGGAGAUAAGGAACCAAUAGUAAUGUUACUGCAGACAACUGUUAACAGUGACUGAGCACUCACCACGGGCAGGGGCCUGGGCUGCGUUCCCAGCGAGUAUUGUUUCACUGAACCUUCGCAGCAGCUCUGUGAGGCAGAUCAUGUCUCCAGUGUCAUGCCACGGAGAAGGGGAUGACAGCUGGCCAGGUGUAGGCAAAAAGGGGUGUAUUUGCCUAUAGGGAAUUUAAACACGACAAUAAAACCAACUCAAAGUCAAUCUGCUUUAUAUUCUCACCAUUCUCAUCAGCAUCAGUGACAAAAUACUCUCUCCUGCCAAGGCAGAUGGCUCCCAUA
Aethalodelphis obliquidens (Pacific white-sided dolphin) is the source of this 2643-nucleotide long non-coding RNA. RefSeq lists it as uncharacterized. NCBI's taxonomy places the organism in Eukaryota, Metazoa, Chordata, Mammalia, Artiodactyla, Delphinidae. The record is from RefSeq and is a predicted model, not a curated record. The transcript has 2 exons.